RNAcentral lists this ribosomal RNA (485 nucleotides) under uncultured bacterium. RNAcentral describes it as "partial 16S ribosomal RNA". It matches the Rfam family "Bacterial small subunit ribosomal RNA", at positions 899 to 1397 of the family's 1533-position model. The record is from RNAcentral.
ACUCAAAGGAAUAGACGGGGGCCCGCACAAGCAGCGGAGCGUGUGGUUUAAUUCGACGCAACGCGAAGAACCUUACCUGGGCUUGACAUGCACGUGGUACGACCCCGAAAGGGGAAGGACCCGCAAGGGAGCGUGCACAGAUGCUGCAUGGCUGUCGUCAGCUCGUGCCGUGAGGUGUUGGGUUAAGUCCCGCAACGAGCGCAACCCUCGCUGCCAGUUACCGUUUCUGGCGGGACUGCCGGGUCCAACCCGGAGGAAGGUGGGGAUGAGGUCAAGUCAGCACGGCUCUUACGUCCAGGGCUACACACACGCUACAAUGGCCGGUACAACGGGCUGCGAUGGAGCGAUCCGGAGCGAAUCCCACCAAAGCCGGUCUCAGUUGGGAUUGCAGGCUGCAACUCGCCUGCAUGAACGCGGAGUUGCUAGUAACCGCAGGUCAGCACACUGCGGUGAAUACGUUCCCGGGCCUUGUACACACCGCCCGU